CGGAGGAUCCAAGCGUUAUCCGGAUUCAUUGGGUUUAAAGGGUGCGUAGGCGGAAUGAUAAGGUCAGUGGUGAAAGCCUGCAGCUUAACUGCAGAACUGCCAUUGAUACUGUCAAUCUUGAGUACAUUUGAUGUGGGCGGAAUGUGUCAUGUAGCGGUGAAAUGCUUAGAUAUGACACAGAACACCGAUUGCGAAGGCAGCUCACAAAACUGUAACUGACGCUGAGGCACGAAAGCGUGGGUAUCAAACAGGAUUAGAUACCCUGGUAGUCCACGCUGUAAACUAUGAUUACUCGAUGUUUGCGAUAUACUGUAAGCGUCUAAGCGAAAGCGAUAAGUAAUCCACCUGGGGAGUACGCUCGCAAGAGUG
RNAcentral lists this ribosomal RNA (369 nucleotides) under uncultured organism. RNAcentral's name for it is "bacterial SSU rRNA". It matches the Rfam family "Bacterial small subunit ribosomal RNA", at positions 526 to 896 of the family's 1533-position model. The record is from RNAcentral.